Molecule: long non-coding RNA, 310 nt
Organism: Gorilla gorilla gorilla (western lowland gorilla)
Lineage: Eukaryota; Metazoa; Chordata; Mammalia; Primates; Hominidae
Exons: 2
Source: RefSeq, a predicted model, not a curated record
GGGAUGGCUGAGUUACAGUUAUUUUUUACAACAGAGCUGCUCCGAUGUCAUGGGAAGUCUCCUCAAAGCCCCAGCUCUGGUAAUUAAAUGAAACACAACCAUCCUACACCACAACGGCUGGGCACUCUCCCACGGAAUAUCCAAAGAAGACAGGAAUGAGAAGAAUCAGCCAUCAAUUGCGUUUUAAAAUUUAAAAUUAAAAGAAGUAUUUAUAUUUCAUAUUUCCCUUAAUGCAAAUUUUUGACAUUUUCUAAAUUUCUACUUAUUUUGUAUAAAAAUGAGCUUAUGAUAUAAUAAAUGAUGACUCCCA